GAUGAAGAACGUAGCGAAAUGCGAUAAGUAAUGUGAAUUGCAGAAUUCAGUGAAUCAUCGAAUCUUUGAACGCGCAUUGCGCCCCUUGGUAUUCCGAGGGGCAUGCCUGUUCGAGCGUCAUUAUAACCCCUCAAGCUCAGCUUGGUAUUGGGGCCUGCCAUCCUGGCAGCCCUUAAAAUCAGUGGCGGUGCCAUCCGGCUCUAAGCGUAGUAACUCCUCUCGCUAUGGAGUCCUGGUGGAUGCUUGCCAUUAAUCUUUUAACUUCUAUGGUUGACCUCGGAUCAGGUAGGGAUACCCGCUGAACUUAAGCAUAUCAAUAAGCGGAGGA
Molecule: unclassified non-coding RNA, 328 nt
Filed under: soil metagenome
Description: partial contains 5.8S ribosomal RNA, internal transcribed spacer 2, and large subunit ribosomal RNA
Rfam family: 5.8S ribosomal RNA (bases 1-120)
Source: RNAcentral